Long non-coding RNA from Mus spicilegus (steppe mouse), 1390 nucleotides. The record is from Ensembl. Lineage: Eukaryota; Metazoa; Chordata; Mammalia; Rodentia; Muridae.
CUCCCACUUCUUGGCCCUGGCGUUCCCCUGUACUGGGGCAUAUAAACUUUGCAAGACCAAGGGGUCUCUCUUCCCAAUGACGGCCAACUAGGCCAUUUUCUGGCUGUCAUUCUUAUUACUACCUUAUUACUUACCAGGCUUUCCCCCUGCUUCGUGCCUGAAGCUGCGCUAUUAGUACUUUUAGUUUAUUUUAGUCUUUAGGGAGGGUUUCACUCUAUACUUGUAGCUGGCUUCAGUCUCACACACAUGCAGCGAGCUGUGCCUCCCCUUUGCUGGGAUAAAAGGCAUGUCUUACCACGCGCAGCCAUGUUUAUUACACUUGAAUGACUUGGCCUCUUUAUUUAUACUGGCAAUGUUGUGUCCCCAGUCUGUCUCGAUUAUCAAAUCAACCUGAGUCUUCAUUACGGUCACUCGUAAUCUUCUAGAGUACUGAACUUUAACAUAUUUUCUGUAGUUGAUACUCGGUUGAGUCUGACUUGUUUUCAAAUCCUCCUUGUUUUCAUCCUUCAACGUGAGGUAAAUUACUGUCUAACGGACACGGCUCAGUUGAAACCUUCUGAUGUGUUCCUCACUCACCGUUUUCUAUCUAGGUAACAGGGACCCUGAACUCAGGGAGGGUCCAGAACACCUGGCUGUCUGAAAUCGCUGAUGUAAACUAUCCACGUUUAACACCAACAAUUCUUUAGUUCAGUCUUUCCAAAUUUACCAUAGUCCCUACCAGGUCACAGCGAGGUGGAAUCCCACUCAGUGGGACUCAAGUCACUUAUAUCCCAUUCUGAUCUUACUUCCUGUUCUGCUUGUCAGUCCGCUCCAGGGAAGAGAAAAAUCAGUGGCGCGCAGAAGCGGAAGUACCUUUUGAGCACCACGCGGGAGCUUUUAAAGGCUGUGCCUUUUUGGAAAAAUCCCUGACACCACCCGGCGCAGCUCCCAGGUGGGCUGGUCCCAGUAGCAUGCUCGGAUCGCCCUGAACCUCUGAGCUCUGGGCUUCCCGGAGUUCCGCCGCAAGGACUACAUUUCCCAGGGUCCACCGCGCCGGAAGUAACGGAUCGAAUUCCGGUGUCGUGUAUCGCUCCCUUGAAAAGUCAGGUUUUUCUCGUAGGUGGAAGAAAUCGCUCUAUGGCCUACGUCCUCACAGACACAGUGCUGCACAUCCAACCUCUGCCAUUCAAACCGCAUUGUCCAGCGUUUCACUGUUCCAAUGAGACGACAGGGUCAGAUCCCACGUGAGUGACGGUGAGAGGAAGCCUGAAGAAGAAUGGCCAGCUCUAAUUCUCAAGACAUGGUCUGUGUAAGUUGACAGUUUUCUCUUUAACAUAGGGUGACUUCAGGUUAUGUGACUCCUGCCCUCUUUCCCUCUCGAAGCUUCCCAAGGAUCCGGAUUCCCCCAGCC